UGGGGAAUUUUCCGCAAUGGGCGAAAGCCUGACGGAGCAAUACCGCGUGAGGGAGGAAGGCUCUUGGGUUGUAAACCUCUUUUCUCAGGGAAGAAUCCUGACGGUACCUGAGGAAUCAGCAUCGGCUAACUCCGUGCCAGCAGCCGCGGUAAUACGGAGGGUGCAAGCGUUGUCCGGAUUUAUUGGGUUUAAAGGGUACGUAGGCGGGCUGUUAAGUCUGAGGUGAAAGCUCCUGGCUCAACCAGGAAAUUGCCUUGGAUACUGGCAGUCUUGAGUACAGUAGAGGUGGGCGGAAUUCAUGGUGUAGCGGUGAAAUGCAUAGAUACCAUGAGGAACACCGAUAGGGAAGCCAGCUCACUGGACUGUUACUGACGCUGAGGUACGAAAGCGUGGGGAGCGAACAGGAUUAGAUACCCGUGUAGUCC
Molecule: ribosomal RNA, 425 nt
Filed under: uncultured prokaryote
Description: bacterial SSU rRNA
Rfam family: Bacterial small subunit ribosomal RNA
Source: RNAcentral